RNAcentral lists this transfer RNA (62 nucleotides) under Figulus binodulus. Its description in RNAcentral is "tRNA-Phe". Lineage: Eukaryota; Metazoa; Arthropoda; Insecta; Coleoptera; Lucanidae. The record is from RNAcentral.
ACUUAAAUAGCUUAAAAAGAGCAUAAUAUUGAAGAUAUUAAGGUGAUUAGGGUCUUUAAGUA